UAGGGAAUUUUCGGCAAUGGGGGGAACCCUGACCGAGCAACGCCGCGUGAAGGAAGAAGGAAUUCGUUCUGUAAACUUCUGUUAUAAAGGAAGAAAGACGGAUGGAGGAAAUGACAUCCGAGUGACGGUACUUUAUGAGAAAGCCACGGCUAACUACGUGCCAGCAGCCGCGGUAAUACGUAGGUGGCAAGCGUUAUCCGGAAUUAUUGGGCGUAAAGAGGGAGCAGGCGGCAGCAAAGGUCUGUGGUGAAAGACUGAAGCUUAACUUCAGUAAGCCAUAGAA
This 283-nucleotide ribosomal RNA is filed under the name uncultured Clostridium sp. Its description in RNAcentral is "partial 16S ribosomal RNA". It matches the Rfam family "Bacterial small subunit ribosomal RNA", at positions 355 to 631 of the family's 1533-position model. The record is from RNAcentral. Lineage: Bacteria; Bacillati; Bacillota; Clostridia; Eubacteriales; Clostridiaceae.